RNAcentral lists this ribosomal RNA (427 nucleotides) under uncultured bacterium. RNAcentral describes it as "partial 16S ribosomal RNA". It matches the Rfam family "Bacterial small subunit ribosomal RNA", at positions 354 to 796 of the family's 1533-position model. The record is from RNAcentral.
GUGGGGAAUAUUGGGCAAUGGGGGCAACCCUGACCCAGCGACGCCGCGUGAGGGAAGAAGGCCUUAGGGUCGUAAACCUCUGUUGUGUGGGAAGAAGGAAGUGACGGUACCACACGAGGAAGUCCCGGCUAACUACGUGCCAGCAGCCGCGGUAAUACGUAGGGGACGAGCGUUGUCCGGAAUUACUGGGCGUAAAGGGCGCGUAGUCGUUCAUUUAAGUCAGCUGUGAAAUGGUCCGGCCCAACCGGAUCAUGCGGUUGAAACUGGAUGACUGGAGUGCUGGAGAGGCAAGUGGCAUGCCCAGUGUAGCGGUCAAAUGCGUAGAUAUUGGGAAGAACACCGGUGGCGAAGGCGACUUGCUGGCCAGCAACUGACGCUGAGGCGCGAAAGCCAGGGGAGCAAACGGGAUUAGAAACCCUGGUAGUCC